RNAcentral lists this small nuclear RNA (103 nucleotides) under Cervus elaphus hippelaphus. Lineage: Eukaryota; Metazoa; Chordata; Mammalia; Artiodactyla; Cervidae. The record is from RNAcentral.
UACUUGCUUCAGCAGCACAUGUACUAAACCUGGAAUGACACAGAGAAGAUUAGCAUGGGCCCUGUGUGAGGAUGACAUGCAAAUCUGUGAUGCGUUCCAUAUU